UUUGAGCUCAAUGCCAUGACUGAGGAAGACCACGGGGUUUUCUCUCUUAGAGGGGAGUGAACCCAGAGCUUUGAGUUGAGAUGGGGGUGCCAUAAGAUUGAAGUACUCUGAAAAACAGAGCUUAAAGGCUUUUAACAGGGCUCAGUAAACACUUAAGGAAGUUGCCGUGCACUGCAGCCUGCCGGAGACAUGAAGGAAUGUACGGGAGGAUAAUCGCAACAUCAUCAACCCAAUUCUCCAAGUAAUUUGCCAUGGGACAGGCACACCCCAUGUGUUUGGGAAGACAAUGGGAAGGUUCUGUUUUCUGCUCCAAGACUGAUUCAACCAGUUGGAUCUGGAAGGGGAUAAAGGGCUGUGUGGCUGCUUGAUUUUCAUUGUCUAGUGGCAGCCAAAAUUGGAAAAGAGAGAAGUGCAGACUUUAAAGACAAGCAGCGACAGCUCAUCAGCAGUCUAACAACACGACAGAUGACAGGCCCAGAGGCACACCCAGGGCCGCCAGCCCAUCACCCUGUGCAGGAUGUCAAAGAGCAGCUGCAGCAAAGGAAGAAGAUCAUCCAGACUUAAAUGUUUGGGCCUUGCUAAGACCAUAGAGUCUUUGUGCUUUGGAAACAGUCCUCCAUACAAAGACCCCUUCCUAGAAAAGAGUGGAAAGAAACCAAGGUGGAAUGGAUACAACAGAAAGGAGACCAUGCUAAUAUUCUUGUGCAAUGCUUCCUGGGCAGAAAUUAUGUCAUAAAGGAUGUUCCAUUCUGCAAAGCUAUGUGUCUCUCUGUGGUUUGCCUCAGAGGAGGGGCCUUUCAUAGCUGUAGUGAGUAAGGGGGCCCUUGCUGAUGUUCAUCAGAUAUGCCAAGGCACAGGAAGAAAGCAUUGAGGUCACAGGGCAGCUCAGGUCCGCCUGUGGUAAUUGAAAACAGGUGACGAGAUUGGGUUGAUUUUAUUUUGGAAAAGUAAAUUAGUGCUGCACCACUCGGACAUGGCUAAUUCAUGAAGCCUCUGGUUUGUAUUAGACACCCAACAUGCCUUUCAGAAAGAAAUGACACAACAAUUAAUGUGUCAAAUAAUAAUGUGCCACUCGGAGAAAGAUAAUUGUACCCAUCGUCAGGUAGUUAUUAGGUCGAACGAAUGCUCAUCCUUUCAAAGGCAACAGCGUCUAUUCAUUCUGGCAUCCUACUGUAAGUACAGUAUUGUGUUCAUAAUCACACAGACUGAAGCCAGGAACACUGGGUUUUAUCUGAUUUUUCUCCAUUUGGAAUUGUACUCCGAUGAUUCCCUAAACAGCAAACUCAGUCAUGUGAAACACAAAUGAGUGUGAUGAAAGACAGAUUGUUAUACUGCAGGAGAGGCUUUCUGUGCUUUUCACAUAAUAUAGAGCAUGAGGACUGUUCCCAAGAAGGUUUAAGCAUAUGUAACAAAAACUACCAGACCUGAAUUUGCUCAUGUGUAAAUGAUAGUCUUUCCUUCUGGUGAUUUAAUGCAUGAGGACAUCAAUCAGUCACAUCAUGGCCUCAGAAGUCCUUGUUCAAUUUCUGAUGCCAUAACUUACUCGAUGUGGGAUUUGGACAAGUCAUUUAACUUCACUGCAAUUCUGUUUCCCUCAUUUGAAAAAUAGAAAUAGAAAAGCCUGCUGUAUAUUUAGGUCCACAUCUGUUGGGGAGGUCAAAGAAGAAAGAAUAUGAAAAGUUGUUUGUAAAUAUAAAGAACCAUGUAAAUAUAAGACAUUGUUUUAUUAAUGCUCCAGAUCAAUUAACUUUCAGUGAAUGAUAAAAUGUGACAUCUUUUCAACAGAGACAGUUUUACUUAAGAAAAACUAGGCAAUGGCUUCUGUCCUUACAAAUGAAAAACUUCAUAAUAAAUGGGGGCUCUCAAGACCACCUGGCCAAAACUGAACUAAAUACUCACUUCAUUCAACCAAGAAUGAGGAACUGAAAUACAUGAUUAUUAUAUAUGCAUAUGCUUCUGUUUCAUCUACUUGGGCAUGCUUGUGAUGAGAUAUGAAAAAUUAGCCAUCUUUAGAAGGAAAGAAAUAUUGUAUUUGGGGGUAUUUCUUCUGUACAGACAAUUGGCCUGGUUAUUGUCUAAAGGUAUUUAAAAUUAAUAAAAUGCAAUUUUAUGCUACAUAAAAU
RNAcentral lists this long non-coding RNA (2123 nucleotides) under Homo sapiens (human). RNAcentral's name for it is "non-protein coding lnc-UCHL3-5:17". The record is from RNAcentral. Lineage: Eukaryota; Metazoa; Chordata; Mammalia; Primates; Hominidae.